Molecule: long non-coding RNA, 494 nt
Organism: Dendrobium catenatum
Lineage: Eukaryota; Viridiplantae; Streptophyta; Magnoliopsida; Asparagales; Orchidaceae
Exons: 2
Source: RefSeq, a predicted model, not a curated record
CAUCUGGUUGCUGAAUCUGAUUCCCUAUGACUCUAAUGAAUAACUUGCAGCUAUAAAUGCUCCCACCCAGAUAACUAACUUCUCUCAAGCAAUUCUCAAUACUUCUUUGCAGUUAAGAAGACCUUGAGAGCCAAAAAGACCAAAUGGCAUCCCUGAAGGCAGAGAAACCUGCGUGUACUACUCAGGUUCCCGUAGGUCAGCCCAAUAAGGAACUACCUAAGGCUACUGACGUUAAACCCAAGGCCCUCUCUACAAGGCCAGCUACAAAGGUGGAACAGAAGCCUCGUGCACCAACUAAAGUUCAGGCUAAAGUUGGAAAACCAGCAGGAAAAAAUUAAGAACAGCAUAAGUAGUAAGAGGUGUCACAUAGAACAGCAGAAGGCUCUUUAUCAACAUCCAGUUACUCUAAUAAAAUUAUCAUAAACCUCAGAUCAGGUUGUUAUGUAAUGUUUAUGCUAGUUUGCCUACAGCAAUAAAAUACAGCCUUAUUAUAA